Molecule: ribosomal RNA, 253 nt
Filed under: uncultured bacterium
Lineage: Bacteria
Description: partial 16S ribosomal RNA
Rfam family: Bacterial small subunit ribosomal RNA
Source: RNAcentral
UACGUAGGGUGCAAGCGUUAAUCGGAAUUACUGGGCGUAAAGCGUGCGCAGGCGGCUUUGCAAGACAGAUGUGAAAUCCCCGGGCUCAACCUGGGAACUGCAUUUGUGACUGCAUGGCUAGAGUGCGGCAGAGGGGAAUGGAAUUCCGCGUGUAGCAGUGAAAUGCGUAGAUAUGCGGAGGAACACCGAUGGCGAAGGCAAUCCCCUGGGCCUGCACUGACGCUCAUGCACGAAAGCGUGGGGAGCAAACAGG